This 529-nucleotide ribosomal RNA is filed under the name uncultured bacterium. Its description in RNAcentral is "bacterial SSU rRNA". It matches the Rfam family "Bacterial small subunit ribosomal RNA", at positions 40 to 507 of the family's 1533-position model. The record is from RNAcentral.
CGGCGUGGAUUAGGCAUGCAAGUCGAACGGUAUAAACCUUCGGGGUUUAGAGAGUGGCGAACGGUGAGUAACACGUAGGUAAUCUACCCUCAAAACGGGGACAACCAGGGAAACUUGGGCUAAUACCGGAUGCGUGCAAACAAUGUUUUGGCUGUUGUAAUUAUUCACGGAAGUGGAUAGUUAUGAGAGUUUCAGAGCAUAAUUUGCAUAAAAGGUGGCGUAAGCUGCCGUUUGAGGAUGAGCCUGCGUCCUAUUAGUUAGUUGGUGAGGUAAUGGCUUACCAAGGCGAUGAUAGGUAGGCGGCCUUAACGGGUGGUCGCCCACACUGGGAUUGAGAUACGGCCCAGACUCCUACGGGAGGCAGCAGUCGAGAAUAGUCUACAAUGGACGAAAGUCUGAUAGUGCGACGCCGCGUGAACGAAGAAUCCUUUCGGGGUGUAAAGUUCUUUUCUAUGUGAGCAGUUCCUUUUAUAUGAAGAGUAUAGAAGGUGGGAUUUAAGCAUAGGAAUAAGCAACGGCUAACUCCGUG